UUAAAAUGAGAGUUUGAUCCUGGCUCAGGACGAACGCUGGCGGCGUGCCUAAUACAUGCAAGUCGAACGAAACUUUCUUACACCGAAUGCUUGUAUUCACCGUAAGAAGUUGAGUGGCGGACGGGUGAGUAACACGUGGGUAACCUGCCUAAAAGAAGGGGAUAACACUUGGAAACAGGUGCUAAUACCGUAUAUCUCUAAGGGUCGCAUGAUCCUUAGAUGA
Molecule: ribosomal RNA, 223 nt
Filed under: Ligilactobacillus salivarius
Lineage: Bacteria; Bacillati; Bacillota; Bacilli; Lactobacillales; Lactobacillaceae
Description: partial 16S ribosomal RNA
Rfam family: Bacterial small subunit ribosomal RNA
Source: RNAcentral